This 253-nucleotide ribosomal RNA is filed under the name uncultured bacterium. Its description in RNAcentral is "partial 16S ribosomal RNA". It matches the Rfam family "Bacterial small subunit ribosomal RNA", at positions 524 to 776 of the family's 1533-position model. The record is from RNAcentral.
UACGGAGGGGGCUAGCGUUGUCCGGAAUCAUUGGGCGUAAAGAGCGUGUAGGCGGCCCGGUAAGUCCGCUGUGAAAGUCGGGGGCUCAACCCUCGAAUGCCGGUGGAUACUGUCGGGCUAGAGUGCGGAAGAGGCGAGUGGAAUUCCUGGUGUAGCGGUGAAAUGCGCAGAUAUCAGGAGGAACACCGAUUGCGAAGGCAGCUCGCUGGGACGUCACUGACGCUGAGACGCGAAAGCGUGGGGAGCAAACAGG